RNAcentral lists this ribosomal RNA (447 nucleotides) under uncultured bacterium. RNAcentral's name for it is "bacterial SSU rRNA". It matches the Rfam family "Bacterial small subunit ribosomal RNA", at positions 330 to 794 of the family's 1533-position model. The record is from RNAcentral.
UCCAGACUCCUACGGGAGGCAGCAGUGGGGGAUAUUGCACAAUGGGGGAAACCCUGAUGCAGCGACGCCGCGUGGGUGAAGAAGCGCCUCGGCGCGUAAAGCCCUGUCAGCAGGGAAGAAAAUGACGGUACCUGAAGAAGAAGCCCCGGCUAACUACGUGCCAGCAGCCGCGGUAAUACGUAGGGGGCAAGCGUUAUCCGGAUUUACUGGGUGUAAAGGGAGCGUAGACGGCAUGGCAAGUCAGAUGUGAAAGCCCGGGGCUCAACCCCGGGACUGCAUUUGAAACUGUCAGGCUGGAGUGCAGGAGAGGUAAGUGGAAUUCCUAGUGUAGCGGUGAAAUGCGUAGAUAUUAGGAGGAACACCAGUGGCGAAGGCGGCUUGCUGGACCGUAACUGACGUUGAGGCUCGAAAGCGUGGGGAGCAAACAGGAUUAGAUACCCUCGUACA